Molecule: ribosomal RNA, 444 nt
Filed under: uncultured bacterium
Lineage: Bacteria
Description: SSU rRNA
Rfam family: Bacterial small subunit ribosomal RNA
Source: RNAcentral
AGAACGAACGCUGGCGGCAGGCUUAACACAUGCAAGUCGAGCGCCUCGCAAGAGGAGCGGCAGACGGGUGAGUAACGCGUGGGAAUUUACCCUAUGGUACGAAAUAACACAGAGAAAUUUGUGCUAAUACCGUAUGUGUCCUUCGGGAGAAAGAUUUAUCGCCAUAGGAUGAGCCCGCGUCUGAUUAGCUAGUUGGUAAGGUAAUGGCUUACCAAGGCGACGACCAGUAGCUGGUCUGAGAGGAUGAUCAGCCACACUGGGACUGAGACACGGCCCAGACUCCUACGGGAGGCAGCAGUGGGGAAUAUUGGACAAUGGGCGCAAGCCUGAUCCAGCCAUGCCGCGUGAGUGAUGACGGCCUUAGGGUUGUAAAGCUCUUUCGCUAGGGACGAUAAUGACGGUACCUAGACAAGAAGCCCCGGCUAACUUCGUGCCAGCAGCCGC